GGAGGGAUGGCCGAGUGGACGAAGGCGCACGACUCGAAAUCGUGUGUCCGAUUUAUCGGAUCGGGGGUUCGAAUCCCUCUCCCUCCG
Molecule: transfer RNA, 87 nt
Filed under: Candidatus Stahliibacteriota bacterium CG23_combo_of_CG06-09_8_20_14_all_40_9
Lineage: Bacteria; Candidatus Stahliibacteriota
Also listed under: 1 other name
Description: bacterium (Candidatus Stahlbacteria) CG23_combo_of_CG06-09_8_20_14_all_40_9 tRNA-Ser
Rfam family: tRNA
About the family: Transfer RNA (tRNA) molecules are approximately 80 nucleotides in length. Their secondary structure includes four short double-helical elements and three loops (D, anti-codon, and T loops).
Source: RNAcentral